This 2766-nucleotide long non-coding RNA is filed under the name Malus domestica (apple). RNAcentral's name for it is "long non-coding RNA (MDOM_LNC011127)". Lineage: Eukaryota; Viridiplantae; Streptophyta; Magnoliopsida; Rosales; Rosaceae. The record is from RNAcentral.
UUUGAAAAUAAAACUUAAUUUGAUUAAUAUCCCCUACAAAUGAAAAACCAUCUUUUACAAAUUGCAUAACAGAAAACAAAUUCCUUCUCAUGGAAGGAACAUAAAGUACAUUACUUAAAGUUAAAACAUAGCCAAUUGACAAUCUCAGUUUUACAAAACCAACAGAUUCAACUGCAACUUUAUUCCCAUUUCCAACAUAAACAUUGUAGACCUCCUUACUUGUUCUCUUUUGGUUUUGAAAUCCCUGCAAAGAAUUUGUUAUAUGUAUAGAACAACUUAUGUCAAACCACCAAGAAUUCUAAUAAAUACAAAUCAUAUUUGACUCUACUAUCACAAAAACAUUUAUUGUUGUUUUACCUUUCUUGAUCAACCAAGCUUUAAAGCUAGGACAAUCCUUCCUUAGGUGAUCCUCAGAAUGAUAGAAAUGACAUUUUUUAACACUACUGUAAUUUGAACUUAAGUCUACUUCAGUUGUUGCUAUUGCUGCUUGUUGGUGAUUAUCUCAUAUGUCAUCAUAUAUGUACGCUAAUGCUUUUGUGCCUACUUAUGCCCUGGUUAAUCCUGUUAUUCCAAUUAAUAUUGUUCCUAUAUGAAUUUUACUAAAAAGUGAUUUUCUCAAGUGGAUAACUGCUUCUUUAUUGAGUAUAUUAAGUGUAACUUCUUUAUCAAUAUAGCUAACUUCAUGUUGACUAAUGCUACUUACAAUUCUACUUCUAUUUUCAAAUAAACCUAAUUGAUACAAAUUAUAUUUAUUUCUCUGUGUUCUCUUAAAUCAUCUUCUAAUAAAUUAUUGUGCUUCUUCUUCAUUUGAAUAAAUAUCUUCAACUCUAACUACUUUUUUUCCUUUUCUCCUAAAUAGUUCCAUUUUCUAUUGUCAAAAUGAUUUAUCUUCUUCAAGUUAAAUUUUCUAACUUUUCUAACAAAGAUGGUGGAAGUGAUGAAGAUGUGUUAUGUUAAACUUGAUUUAUUUAUGUUAUUUGUUCUUCAACUUGGUCUACUUUUUCGGCUAAACUUAAAACUAAUUGGAUAGUUAAAUUAUUUUGUCUAAUAGGGAUAAUACUACUAGCUACUGGUGUUGAAAAAUCUGUUAAACAUACUGGUUCUUUAUCUAACUUACUAAUUUCUUUCAAAACUUGGAUCUAUUUUCUAUUAGUUCUAGAAUCGGUCAUUAAACUAAUAAUCUAUUUAUUUUAUAAUCUAACUUAUCUACUUGUUCACUCAACUCUUUUUGCACUAAUUGAAUUUUUUGAACUUCUAAUUUUAAUCGCUUAGCUAUUUCUAGUGAUCUAAGUUCUACUUGCUUAGGUUUACUAUCUAUAAGGUCAAUAACUUCUUUUCUCUCUUUUGCUCGGAAACAUUUGAAUAUUUUUAUUAUUAUCUUCUAACUGAGAUGUAAUAUAAUCUAAAUUUUGUCUAAUUGUUUUUAUGGAUUUUUUCUGAAAAUGUUCUAUCAACUGGUUUAAUAAAUAAUUAUGCUUAUUAUUUUUUAAUUUUAUAUUUUCUACUUGACUAAUAAUAAGAUUUACAAUACUAUUGGCUUGUGAAUUUUCUUCACUAUGCAAAAUAUGAUUAUGCUUUCUUAAUGGAAAAUAACAAACUAAACUAUUUUGGUCUAAAGUUAUUUUUCUUUUUUGUGGUUCGCUAAUUUCUAAAUUUAGGUAAUUUAUCAUAAGCUACAGUCUACAUUUAUCUAAAGUUAUGGCUAACUGGUUUCUUAGAAACUCUUCUUCUCAUGGUAUCUAAAGUUUGAUCUGUUGUUUUUAUGCUUCUAUAACUCUAUGAUGCACUUCUGUGGUAUUAUAUUUACUAAUAAAUGAAGAGUGUUCAAGAUAACCAAGAUAAAACUUCUGCUUCUUCAAAGUUUUGCUAUUUCUUUUGGAUAUAUAUGUUAAUCUUCUCUUUAUGCUAGUUAUAUUUGGAUGACUAGGACAAUAAAUACCUAGUGGUUGUGGUUGACAAGGUCUACAAGGACGAUAAUAUCUAUUAUUCAUACAAAAUUAAACAAGUGUGUGAUAUUAGUUGUGUUAACGAUUUCAGUCCUCAAGGUACUUUACUAUUAUAAUUGUACUAUUAAAAUGCUAAACUUGGUUUUGAUACCAAAUUCGCAAAGCAAAGGCCCGGUCACAUAGUCGGAUGUCCAUUAUAACAACUAGACAUAAAACCUUGCACAUGGAACUUGACACGUCUCAGCAUGACGACCGCUCACAAUGUAGGUAUAAGACCUUAAAGGUUGAACUCAGAGAUAUGAAGAACUCAAAGGUAAGGUCCAGUUAUUUGUAUAGCAAACAUUCAAUUAUAACAGAAUGCUCGAACAAAGUAUGAUUGUCAAUUUAGCAGGUUAAUAAUAUAACUACAAUAGUGUUUCCCUGUUUUGGACUAGAAGUCUAAUUAAACAAACACACUCAAGAAAGAAAACUUACUUAAGACUUGGAGAUUGCUUGAAUCUGUACACUUGAACUUUUAUUGAUAUAUAAAAUGUUUACAAAAAUAAGUGUUUACAAGGAAUGCUAGGAAUGCUUUGGGUGCUCUAUGCUUGAGGUGUAUUGGAGUAGUGUGUAUUGAGGUGUUGUGUCCUUAAUAUGAAUGAAACUCCUCCUUAUAUACACUGAAUGAGGAUACUAUUGUGUCCUUGGGUACUUGUCAUUUGUCCAUUUGCUUCUACUGUUGUUGAAAUUGUCGGCACUGUUUCUAAACGUGGACUAAAUUAUUUAUACUUUGUCUUCUUUUGCUUUUGUUUUGAACAGCAUGUGAACUUGUUGAAUGAAU